GUCAGGAUGACCGAGAGGUCCAAGGCACUAUGUCCAAGUCACUCUCGGGUCUUCCCGGUGUGGGUUCGAAUCUCAUUUUUGACA
Potamilus streckersoni is the source of this 84-nucleotide non-coding RNA. Lineage: Eukaryota; Metazoa; Mollusca; Bivalvia; Unionida; Unionidae. The record is from the annotation of a GenBank genome assembly.